CCAACGUCUCAAUUAUUUUUCAGUCUUGUUCUUUCAUUCUCUUAAUUUCUUUUGUUACACUUUACAGAAUACAAACACUCUUUCUUCUUUUUUUCUUUAUCUUCUACUAUUCAGAUAUUCAUUUCUUUCAUUUCAUUCGGGAUAUUUUGGAAUUCAGGAAUUGGAAUCAAGGGCUCGAAGUCUUCAAAUUUCUUGAUUCAACUAUUUAUCAGGUAAUAUUAUUCUAAUAUUCUAGUAUUAUUUUUAUUUGAUAUUUAUUAUUUUGUUAAUUAUAAUAUGUGCAUAUUAUUUAUUUAUUUUUAGAAUAUAAAUAUGUCAACAAGAAAAUAUGCAUCUGGUUAUUCAAAAAUCCAAAAGAAAAGAAAAGUUAAAAAUUUAAUAAAAUCUCAGAAAUGAGCUCUUGAAAUUUUUUUGACAAACAAUAAAAAAACUAAAUCGCAAAAUAUAGGAGAAUAUUCUGUAGAUGAAAAAUUUACUAACUUUGUUGAGUAAGAUGAUAACAUAAUCCAAAUUGAAGAAGAAGAGGUUUAUGAGAAAUCUGAUGAAGAUUCUCAAGAAUAUCAAGAACUAAUAAAUGAAUUAAAUAAUAAUAUUCAUAAAAAUAUAUAUGAUCCCAGUUAAUGGAUUAAUAUUGAUACAAAGUUGAGAUAUUUAUUAGUAGAAAAGGGACCAACAAGAAUUAUUGAUAUAGAUUUUCCAAAGGAUAAAUCCUUAAGACACUUUUCUACUACACAUUAUUUUCAAAAAUUAGCAAAUGGGGAAAAACAUGAAAGAAGAUUUGGUUUAUUCCAAAGAUUUGGAUAGAAUAUUUUAUUUUUGUUGCAAGCUAUUUAAUACAAAUUCUAGUGUUAGUAUUAGUAACUAGCUAGUGAAGGUAGUAGAGAUUGGAGAAAUAUUAGUACUAAGCUUAAACUCAUGAAACAACGAGCGAACAUAUUAUUAAUACGAGUUCAUGGAUUGACUUAGAAAUGAGAUUGAGCAAAAAUAAAAACAAUUGAUAAAGAUAUGCAAGACCAAAUCAAUGGAGAUAGAGAGCACUGGAGAAAUGUGAAGCAAAUCUAGCAACUUAUGAGCUUGAAAUUUUUGAAUUUUUAUUGGGCAUGACUAUCUGGUAUGAUGCUUUAUUUGCUGUUAAUUUAGUUAGCAAAAGUUUUCAAUUAAAAGAUAUGCUUAUUGAUGUUGUCAUAUAUCAACUAAGAGGUUUAAUUUCUUUUUUUGAGAAAUAUAGAGAAGAAGGAUUUACAAAUGCCAUGAUUGCAGCUAAGGAAAUUGCAUUUGAUAUGAAUAUAGAACCUGAAUUUCGUAAUAAACGUGUAAUACAUAGAAAGAAACAGUUUGAUGAGAUGUUGAUAAUGAAAUUACAAAGUCUCCUGAAGAAUCUUUUAGAGUUGAUUACUUCUUAUAUAUAGUAGAUCAAGCCAUUUUUUCACUUCAAAUAGAUUUGAACAAUUAGAAGUAUAUGAAAUUCUUAUAUAUAGUAGAUCAAGCAAUUUUUUCACUUCAAAAUAGAUUUGAACAGUUUUAAGUAUAUGAAAGUAUCUUUGGUUAAUUCCUAUUUAAUGGUAAAAAUUUUAGAUCAUUAGAUGAUGAGAAAUUGAAUAAAUAUUGUCUUAACCUUGAAUGUUCCUUAAAACACAACAAUCACUAAGAUAUUGAUGAUUUAGACUUAUUUUCUGAACUAAAAGUGUUAAGAAAAAUACUAGAAGUAGAAGAUAAUACUCCAAUCGAUAUACUCAAUCAAAUAAGAAGACUUGAUUCUUUUCCAAAUGUUUAUAUUGCUUAUAGAAUAAUGAUAACAACUCCUACAACAGUUGCUUCGGCAUAAAGAAGUUUUUCAAAAUUAAAAUUGAUAAAAUCUUAUCUAAGAUCAACAAUGUCUCUAUAGAAUAAUGUUAACAGUUCCUAUAACAGUUGCUUCAGCAGAAAGAAGUUUUUCAAAAUUAAAAUUGAUAAAAUCUCAUCUAAGAUCAACAAUGUCUCAAGAAAGAUUAAAUGGCAUGGCUAUAUUAUCAAUUGAAAAGGAAUUAUUAGAAAAAAUCGAUUAUAAUAAAGUUAUUAACAAUUUUGCAUCUCAAAAAGCUAGAAGAAUAGAUUUUAAAUAAAAAUAUGCAAUAUAAGAUUUGUAUAAAAAUUUAGGCCCCAUAUUAAACUUUCGCCUUAGGCCUCAUUUACACUUGAGCCGCCCUUGGUAACUGGAAAUUUCAGAUGUAGAGCUGAAGUUUUUGUGUUGUAACUAGGAAACUUCAGUUCUAGAACUAAAGUUUUUGUGUUGUAACGGGAAACUUUUUUUGUUGUAACGGAAAAGUACUGAAAUUUUUGUGUUGUAACUAAAAAAUUUCAGAUCUAGAAUUGAAGUUUUUGUAUUAUAACUGGAAAACUUAAGCUCUGCUUUCUUUCUUGGAUGAAGUUGGCUGGAAGAUAGAAUUUGAUUUCGUACGGAAUAGGGAUAUAACAUAACCAGCUGAACCAAAAUAAUGGCGACAAAUAUCAAGAACCAUUCUGCCAUGAAAUAUAUAUGAAGGAAAUUGGCUUGUUGAAAUUGAAGAAACUCGAAUCAAGUUCUAACUGGGAGUCAAUUAAUAACAUUAGUACAAAGAAGCUCAGAUCUAGCCUGCAGGCAAAUAUCCGUCUUCUGAGAAAGAGCUGUUAUCAAAGAUGAAAACUUCAAAAGACCGUCCAUAAGUGCCUCCAAAAAAAUAGGCAAAACAACUAUUCCUAUCAAAGUUUCAGUUUUUGAGUUCAUAGAAGAGUGCGAAAAGAAACAACUCAUCUUUAUUUACAAAGAUAAAGGUUAAUUCAUUUUACUCACUGGAUUUAUUGUAUUGCUAGGCUUAAUAUCAAAUAGGACGUCCCGCACAAUUUUUAUCCAUUUCUUCCGUUCGCUCCAGUAUUUUUCUCGCUCUCGAUUUUCAUUUUGGAAUACAUAUAAAUUUUUGUUAGAAAUUUAACUCUUUAUUUAUAAUGACUUAUAAAAUAAAUAAAAAGGCUUAUCCUCUGAUGGUAAUCCCUUAUAUAUAUAAUGAUUAUCAAUUUCUUGAAUACAUGUAAAAAUUCACUAAAACAUAUGUGUACUCAAUAUUCUUUAUAAACUGAAUUUACAUUGAAGGAUAACUCCUUCCUCUUUAUAGAAGAAACUUUUAUUUAUUUGGAAAAAAAACCAUUCUAUGUUCUUUAUCGAGUUACAAAAGAAAAGCUAUAAUUAUGAUGGGAAAAAUUAGGGUUAAUUUCAUUGAUGGUCAUCCAACUUAUCAUUUAUUUUGCAAAAGUUACUUAUUUAUUUUUUAUCACUUGAAAGUCACACAACUUUACAUUUGUAACAUAAAAGUCAUUCUAGUUCAAAACCUAUAAAAUAUUCUAUAAAAAUAUGACAUGGCAUUAAAUUUAAUUAAAUAAUUUAAUUAUUUUGCCACAUAAACUUAGAUGGACCAUACCCAAUUUAGACCCAUUUCAUCCACAAUGCGAUUUGACCCAAACGCUUUUAAUAUUUUGACAAUUAGAAGGAAAAGACGAGAACAAUUAUUUUGUGUUAAAAAUAUCUUAUUUUAUUUGUUACGACCUUAAUGCCGCCAUCUAUAAUUUCAUUAAAAAUAUGAUCAGAACUAGCACAGAACCAGUUUUUGCAUCCUUCAUAUCAUUUUAUAAUUUUUCUUGAAGUUAAAAUAAUGCCAUUUCAAUCUCACAUAAUAUAUAAAUGUACCACUAACAGGUAAGAACAACAAGGUAAUAAGAAUUUUCAUAAAUUACUAUUUCAUUAAAAUCAAAAUGUUACUUAUUAAGCAAUAUUAACAUACAAAAAUACUGCUUAGUAAGAAAUAUCCACAAUGAAAUUAUAUAGUGAAAGUUGUCAAUACAUUGCAAUCGGAGGAAAACAUAUAGCUAUAGUUUGGACAAAAGAAAGAGACAACAUAUUGGGUCAUUGACCGUAAAUGUACAACCAAAACCUAAGAUAAAUUCAAAAUACCUAAUUUUUCUUAAAUUUCUUAGACUUCUUUUUCUACAAAUUAAACACAAAAUCAAGUCAAAAUAUUAAUAAUCCAUUUUGAUUAUAGGUCAAGUCACGUUGAGGAAGAAACGGGUCUAACUUAAAGGUGUCUAACGGGCCGGUCCUACCCGUUACCGGACCGGCCUAGACUGGGUGUGACAAUCCGACCUGUCAUCUUUUGUAUUUCAGCCAUGUUAUUCCCGUAUUAUGCUUCCUGUGUGUUGAUAUAUAUGUUUGGUGAGUUUGAAUUGUGUUGGGUUGAAUUUGGUUAGAAAUCAGACCAAUAACCUCUUUAAGGAAAGCUUAAGUUGGAAAAGUCAACCGGAUGUUGACUUGUGAGUUAGAGGGCUCGGAACGGAUUUCUGACAAUUCGACUAGUUUCAGAUGGUGGUUUAUGACUUGAGAGCGAAAUCGAAAUAUAAUUUGGAGGUCCGGUGUAGAAUUAAGCUUGAAUUUGCUAAGUUCGAAUUUUGACAAGUUCCGGUUGAUAGGUGAGAUUUUGAUCCGGGGAUCAGAAUAGAAUUCCAACAGUUGCAGUAGCUUUGUUAGGUGAUUUUAGAUAUGUGUGCAAAUUUUCAAAUCAUUCGGAAGCGUUUAGGUCGGGUUUUGGAUCGAAUGCGAAUUUGGAAAAGUUCUAAUUGACUUAGGCUUGAAUUUGAGGAAUUUGACGAUUUGUUAUGUUAAUAUUGGUGUUUUUAUGGCCCGAACAAGUUUGAAUGAGGUAAUAGGUCAUGUUGGUGCUUUUGGUUGAGGUCUCGGGGGCCUCGGGGUGAUUUCAAAUGGAUAACGGAAAGAUUUUAGUUUGGAAAAGUUGCAGAAAUUGCAGCAGCAGUGCAUACCAAUUUUUGGUCGUCGCGAUUGCGUAGUAGCGGGCCGUUGUUCCCUGAAAUCGCGGGAGGCGAGUCGCGUUCGCGUAAGGUUAGGAGGAAGGGCUAUGCGACCACGUGGUGAUUAGUGCGAUCGUGUAGGGGUAAAUUCGGGAGCUUCAGUUUUUGUUCUCUGCAAUUGCAAGCCUGGGGCUGCGAUCGCAUAUAAGGAAAUUGUUGUGCCGUUAAGGUUUAAAAAAAAUUCAUCCGCGAGCUAUUCCAUAUUUUCUCCAUUUUUGCACCACCUGAGAGCUUGUUGACCUAUUUUGAAGGGGAUUUCGAUGGGAAGUGAUUGGAGAUAAGUCUCGUGGCUUUAAUACGUUAUUUUAUAGAAGAAUCAAUCAUUAAUUCUCUCAAAUUGGGUGUAAAAGUUGAUGAUCUAGGGAUUGAAAUAUCAAAUGAAAAUUGGGAAUUUGGAGGAGCAAUUGGACUCCGUUUUUGAUGAAUUUUCUAUGUACGGACUCGUGGCGAGACGAGGAUUCUGAAAUAUGAAUUUCAUAAUUUUUUGAAAAGGGGGCGGGGGGCUCGGGUUUUGCCAACUUCGUGUUGUUGGGUGUAUUUCGAGUUAUUUCGAUUGGGUUAUGUUCCAUUUGCCUAUUUUGACGUCUUCCUAUUGGUUUUGACAAGAUUUGGCAUCUGCAGAGGUUGAUUCUCGAGAGAACGACAUUGCGAGCUAGUUUGCGGCCGGCUUGAGGUGAGUAAUGGGUGUAGAUGAUGACCUGAUGGUUUGAAACCCCUGUAUAUCAUAUUGUGGCGCUAUUAUGAGGCUAGACACACACUCCAUGGCUAGUGCGGGGUCGUAUAUGUUGGAAAUUGUGACUCUGUCCAAUCCGAGGGAUGGUUUGAAACCCCUGUAUAUCAUAUUGUGGCGCUAUUAUGAGGCUAGACACACACUCCAUGGCUAGUGCGGGGUCGUAUAUGUUGGAAAUUGUGACUCUGUCCAAUCCGAGAGGUAAAUUGUAUUAUGUUGGUGAUUGUUUCGUAUAUUAUAUUGAUGAUAUCUGGGCUUGAUGCCAUGUUUGGGGCCUAACAUGUAGAAUCCCUCAGGGUUCAUUAUCUCAGAAUUUUCAUGAUUUGCAUAUUAUUUGAAUUCAGUCCAGGUUUAAAUACUAUUUUUGCAAACUCAGCCAUAUUUAUACGUUUGAAAACUAAAAUGAUUUUCAAAUGAUACUUCAGGCUAAUGAGUAUUGUCUCACUAUUUCUAGACUAUACAUUAUUUCAAAUGGAAACGGUGGUAACUAUUGGCACCGUGUAUUUUGAAUGGAAACGGUGGUAACUAUGGGUACCAUGUAUUAUAAAUGAAAACGGUGGUAACUAUGGGCACCGUGUAUUAUAAAUGAAAACGGUGGUAACUAUUGGCAUAGUGUAUUGUAACGGAAACAGUGGUGACUAUUGACACUGUAUGAUAUGGUGCUUGAGCUGUAGGAGCACCUCCGGAGUCUGAACCCCCACAGUGAGCGCGGGUAUCCAUAUGAAGCGGGCUGCAAGUUCCACAGUGUUCAUGCAUUGCAUUGCAUCUCAUACAGCUAUUUGUUACCAUUGAUUUACCUGUACAUCUGUGAGAAUGGUACUGUAAAGAACUGCUAGAUAGCUUCAUUUUGUAUUAUUUCGUGUUUUCUUGUCUUCGGGUUUAUACAUGCUUAUUACUCGCUAAGUUGGUAGACUCACCCCAUACUCCCUGCACUUUGUGUGCAGAUCCAGGUGCUCCAGAGACCUAGUGUUGUUGUUCUUGAUUUCCCGAGCUCUUCAGAGUAUUGAGGUAGCUGCUCAGCAUCUGCAUGACCACUUACUUUGUUUCUAUCAGUCAUGUUCUUUUUGCUAUUUUGUCAGACUUUAGUAUCAUUUCUGUUCAGACUUGUAUCAUGUUCUGUUAGAGGCUCUGUACUCGUGACUCCUCGGUUUUGGGAGGAUUAUUAUUCUUACUCAGCUGUAUUUUAUUGGUAUUGCCUAUCCAUGGUUGGGAGUCUGAUAUUAAAAUUUACUGUG
RNAcentral lists this long non-coding RNA (6834 nucleotides) under Nicotiana benthamiana. RNAcentral describes it as "long non-coding RNA (NBEN_LNC008438)". The record is from RNAcentral. Lineage: Eukaryota; Viridiplantae; Streptophyta; Magnoliopsida; Solanales; Solanaceae.